RNAcentral lists this ribosomal RNA (254 nucleotides) under uncultured bacterium. Its description in RNAcentral is "partial 16S ribosomal RNA". It matches the Rfam family "Bacterial small subunit ribosomal RNA", at positions 524 to 777 of the family's 1533-position model. The record is from RNAcentral.
UACGUAGGGUGCGAGCGUUGUCCGGAAUUAUUGGGCGUAAAGCGCGUGUAGGCGGCAUUGCAAGUCGCGUGUGAAAGCCCUCGGCUCAACCGAGGAAGUGCGCGCGAAACUGCAGUGCUUGAGUACCGGAGAGGGUGGCGGAAUACCCCAAGUAGAGGUGAAAUUCGUAGAUAUGGGGUGGAACACCGGUGGCGAAGGCGGCCACCUGGACGGAUACUGACGCUGAGACGCGAAAGCGUGGGUAGCAAACAGGG